Molecule: long non-coding RNA, 621 nt
Organism: Oreochromis niloticus (Nile tilapia)
Lineage: Eukaryota; Metazoa; Chordata; Actinopteri; Cichliformes; Cichlidae
Exons: 2
Source: RefSeq, a predicted model, not a curated record
AUGUGACCCAGUGUUUUGUGUUAAUUAUUAUUAUCUUAUGCUUUAGGUUAGUCUGGUUAUGUCUUUUGCUAUGAUUUCUAGUUCCUAGGUUUGGUUCCCGUGCUCGCUCUGUUCCAGUUCAGUCAGGUCUCUGUGUAAAGCUCGUGUCUCUUAGUCUCUGUCUUUGCACGUGUGUUGAGUUUCUUGUUUUAUUGUGAAGGUCUGUGUCUUAUGUCAGUGUGUUCAGUUUUGCGUCCUCCCUGUCUCGUCUUGCUUAUUAGGUUCAGCUGUGUCUCCCUCCUCUGUGCAGUUUCCUCGUUUCCCUUUGUGUAUAUUAGUGUGGGUUCUCCAGUACUCAUCGUCGGUCCGUCUGCGGUUCUCUGUGCAUCAUGCCCUGGGUUUCUUCCUCCGUGUUAUCCUGCGAGUAUGGUUUUGAGUCUUGUUUGUUAGAUUUUUCCCAGUUUAGGUUUUCUUAGUUCUGUCCUUGCCAUCCGUGCUUUUGUUUGUGUUUUCACCUGUUGGAAUAAAAGCUCACUCGCAUCACAGCCUGUGCCUGCAUCUUGGGUCCUUCAUUCAUAACACCAUGUGGCUUGCCUCGCAAACCGUGACAAUAAGAAUAAAGUGAGACUAAAAAAAUUAAAG